CGUGUCGUGGCUCGCGAUAAAAUCGCUUAAUACACACUCCAUACUGUAUAUAGCAGAUUUGAGGCCUGAGUGAGCAAUCCUAACCACAAGAUAUGCAAUUAGUCUAGUGAUGGACUUGUCAUCAGCAACAAUUUCAGUCUCAUCAACGCUUUGGAUAAACAGCAUCCAGUUCCGUUAUCACCGAUGUCGAUCAAGAUAUGGAUCUCUUCUUUACCUUUCUUUAAAUGUCCAAGUGUAUGCCCAUGUGAGUGUGGGUGUAUUCACGAGGACUCCCCUUUUUCCCUAUCCCACCUGUGGUGGAUUCAAUUAACUCUUCUGAUUUCUGAUGGAUCACGGGUGGACUGACGGAAGCACUUGUGGAUGGAUGUCUGGCCCUAUUUCACCCAGCCAUAAGGAUUUGAGCAGAUUGCAGCCAUCAUAACCACAAGAUAUGCAACAAGUCUUUACUUGUGCUGGACCUAAUCAUCACCAACAAUCCCCUAAUC
This is a long non-coding RNA of Daphnia pulex (common water flea), 485 nucleotides long. RefSeq lists it as uncharacterized. Lineage: Eukaryota; Metazoa; Arthropoda; Branchiopoda; Diplostraca; Daphniidae. The transcript is spliced from 4 exons. The record is from RefSeq and is a predicted model, not a curated record.